CUCCAGACUCCUACGGGAGGCAGCAGUGGGGGAUAUUGCACAAUGGGGGAAACCCUGAUGCAGCGAUGCCGCGUGAAUGAAGACGGCCUUCGGGUUGUAAACCUCUGUCUUUGGGGAAGAAAAUGACGGUACCCAAAGAGGAAGCUCCGGCUAACUACGUGCCAGCAGCCGCGGUAAUACGUAGGGAGCGAGCGUUGUCCGGAAUUACUGGGUGUAAAGGGAGCGUAGGCGGGCGAGAAAGUUGAAUGUUAAAUCUACCGGCUUAACUGGUAGCUGCGUUCAAAACUUCUUGUCUUGAGUGAAGUAGAGGCAGGCGGAAUUCCUAGUGUAGCGGUGAAAUGCGUAGAUAUUAGGAGGAACACCAGUGGCGAAGGCGGCCUGCUGGGCUUUAACUGACGCUGAGGCUCGAAAGCGUGGGGAGCAAACAGGAUUAGAUACCCCUGUACU
Molecule: ribosomal RNA, 447 nt
Filed under: uncultured bacterium
Lineage: Bacteria
Description: bacterial SSU rRNA
Rfam family: Bacterial small subunit ribosomal RNA
Source: RNAcentral